Molecule: ribosomal RNA, 463 nt
Filed under: Enterococcus sp. oral taxon A43
Lineage: Bacteria; Bacillati; Bacillota; Bacilli; Lactobacillales; Enterococcaceae
Description: bacterial SSU rRNA
Rfam family: Bacterial small subunit ribosomal RNA
Source: RNAcentral
GACGAACGCUGGCGGCGUGCCUAAUACAUGCAAGUCGAACGCUUCUUUUUCACCGAACUUCGGUUCAUCGAAAAAGAGGAGUGGCGAACGGGUGAGUAACACGUGGGUAACCUGCCCAUCAGAAGGGGAUAACACUUGGAAACAGGUGCUAAUACCGUAUAAUGCUUUUUCUCGCAUGAGAGCAAGCUGAAAGGCGCUUUUGCGUCACUGAUGGAUGGACCCGCGGUGCAUUAGCUAGUUGGUGAGGUAACGGCUCACCAAGGCCACGAUGCAUAGCCGACCUGAGAGGGUGAUCGGCCACACUGGGACUGAGACACGGCCCAGACUCCUACGGGAGGCAGCAGUAGGGAAUCUUCGGCAAUGGACGAAAGUCUGACCGAGCAACGCCGCGUGAGUGAAGAAGGUUUUCGGAUCGUAAAACUCUGUUGUUAGAGAAGAACAAGGAUGAGAGUAAAAUUUUCAU